GCCGGGCGUGGUGGCUGACGCCUGUAAUCCCAGCACUUUGGGAGGCUGAGGCAGGUGGAUCACCUGAGGUCAGGAGUUCGAGACCAGCCUGGCCAACAUGGUGAAACCCUGUCUCUA
This is a non-coding RNA of Homo sapiens (human), 117 nucleotides long. It matches the Rfam family "Metazoan signal recognition particle RNA". Rfam says of the family: The signal recognition particle (SRP) is a universally conserved ribonucleoprotein. The record is from Rfam. Lineage: Eukaryota; Metazoa; Chordata; Mammalia; Primates; Hominidae.